AGCAAGGAUGACUGGGGGAGUUAGGACUGCAUAGGCUCCGGCGCUGGGUGAGAGCGUGUGUCUGCGUGUGAGUGCAUGUGGAUGUGCAUGUGUCUGGGUGGAUUCCCACUGUAACUGUGCCCCACGUGUGACUGUGCUGGCCGCGACAGCCAUCCCGUCCACAGCAGUGACUUUCUCACCAUACAGAUGGUGUGAGCAGUCGGGGGAAAAGUUUUUAACAGCUUGUCUGGGCUUCAGCUAAAGUCAAUCCACUCAGCACACACUGAGUCAGUCCAGGAGGAGAGCGGCAGCGGCAGCAGCAGCAGCAGCAGCAGCAGCAGCGGAGCUGGAGUACAACUUAAGCUUGUCUCAACCGGGAUUUCUGCUGUUGCUGAUUGAUUGCCUGUCACUGGAUUGGAUAAAACAGUUGUGCAUCACGACACGUCACAGUUGAGGGAUUCAACAAGGCUGUUCAUUUGAACGAUCAGAGUUGCUUGCUGUAAUGGGCGACCAGUGUGUUUCCGACAGCAGUCCCCAGCGCAGUGGAGGUCAGGCCAGCACGGAAGUUAAGAGGCAGGCACGGCCGAAAGUCAUCAGGUGUGGGUGGCUCAGGAAGCAAGGAGGUUUUGUCAAGACUUGGCACAGCCGCUGGUUUGUGCUGCGAGGGGACCAGCUCUACUAUUACAAAGACGAGGAGGAGACCAAAGCCCUGGGAGCCAUUUUCUUACCUGGAAACAAAGUUACAGAGCAUCCAACCAGCGGCGAUGACGGGGGAAAAUUUCUUUUUGAAGUCAUUCCAGG
Molecule: long non-coding RNA, 780 nt
Organism: Xiphias gladius (swordfish)
Lineage: Eukaryota; Metazoa; Chordata; Actinopteri; Istiophoriformes; Xiphiidae
Exons: 3
Source: RefSeq, a predicted model, not a curated record